CUAUGACACUAAUGGGGCGAUAGCUCAAGCCAGGGAAUCAAGGUCUCAUCAAGGUCCGAACUCAAAUGACAGACUGAACCACAUGAUUGAGAAUCAUGUAUAAUGGUGACGUCGUUAUUCUCAAGGUUGCUUCUAUGGAUAACAUAUAGAUAUCCAUUGUCUAGGCCUACUACUCAGCCAUUUAUGAAAUGACUACAAAAGAGGUAUCAUCACUGAUGAUCAAGCUGAUUGGCUCUAGUGCAAGUGGGAGAUUGUUGGAAAUGUGCCCUAAAACCAUUCAUAUGAUGAUACUUUACGGACAUUUCACGUGUUAAACUAAUCUAGUUUAAUAUCAAGGGCAAACAUUAUUGUUUGAGCCGUCUCAUAUAAAUGUUAUAUGCUUAAACGAUAAGUCCAAAGGAAUAUGUGAUUGGGAGAAUGCGAUCUAAAGAAGUUAGAUUCAUGAGACCAUUCUUUCGUAGACACAU
RNAcentral lists this long non-coding RNA (467 nucleotides) under Malus domestica (apple). RNAcentral describes it as "long non-coding RNA (MDOM_LNC000136)". Lineage: Eukaryota; Viridiplantae; Streptophyta; Magnoliopsida; Rosales; Rosaceae. The record is from RNAcentral.